UGAAAGUGCAUUUCGAGUGUUUGGAAUGUUGUGGAGUGUACUUCCACAAGUACAGUGGAGUGAAUCUCGAGACUCCUGCUCAGGGUGGCUUAGAAAAGCACCCUUGAAUCCAGAGAAGCCGCAAUGAGGGAGCAGUGAUAAAUGGUAUGCAGAAAGAGAAAAUAAUUUAACGGAAAAGAGACAGUAAGAGACAGCAAGAAGAUGGCUGUCUGCGACACAGGAAGAGGGCUCUCGCUAGGAAUGACCCAAUCAGGACCUUACCUUGAACUUGGACUUCCCAGCCUCCAGAACUGUGAGAAGUAAAUGUUUGCUGUUUAAGACACCCAGGCUGUGGUAUUUUCUUACAGCAGCCUGACUGGGCUAAUACUCGAAGGAAAGUGGACACAGAUAGAGACGUUCAGCAUGAACAGAAACAUGCAAAAUGAGCCCGUCGACAAAUAUUCCAAAACAUCUGAAAAGAUCUAAAGUUAAGUAUACAAUCAUAUAUGGGAAAAGUGGCUAUGAUAAGCUUAUAUAAGUUAUCAUGACUCCUGGCUUAUAUUUUCCAAGUUGUAGGUGGGAUUUCUUCUCUGGAUCAGAAUAGGUUCUUGGGGAAGGACAAAAGAAAAUGAUCUACUCAACUUUCAACCAACAAAAGCUAGUGACAAGUAGAAUGAUCCCUUGGAGUCGAUUCCAUGAAUUCAGCCUAAUUUGAAAGAAUAGUUGAAAAGUUUCUUUUACAUGUGUGAUGGUUGGUGGGUUUUAACCCGCACAAAGCAACUCAAUUUAUUAUCUUGUGAUUUUUUUAUCAGUCAGAAAUCAAGGUACAUGCUCAGCUCAACUCCCUACUUGAGAUCUCAACAGACCAACAUCACUGCACUGGCUGCCUGGGCUUUGGGGAGGAACUCACUUUCAAGCUCAUCCAGUAGUAUUCCACUGUGGUGGAUGGACAAAUAUGUGGACGUUUUGUUGUUCCAGUUUCCAGCUAUUACAACUAAAACUGCUUUGAACACUCAGAUGCUACCAGAAGACAUGGAGCUCCAGGUCAGAGACAAAGGAUUUUACUAUAACAGCGAGCAGCAUGAGUAUGAUGUUGGCACUGGUUAUCUUUGCCAACAAUUCCCAUGGAGGUGACAGAAAAUGGCCCACGUGUUUACUGAGCAUCCAGUGAGUUUGAUUCAUAGCCGAAGAACAUUGAUCUUGGGAAAUCUGCUGCUUUUCCAUUAAGCCUUGUCUUUGUUCUGGAAGGAUACAUCAUAUCAUCCUUUAAAAUUGUUUGCUGCCAAUGCAGCCCCGAGAAAUGGCCCAAAGAUCAUUUGAAUUUGAAGUAUAAAGAAAACCUGGAAUGACCGGAGCCCAGGAACAAGUACAGCCCCCUUUGGCUGUGAUUUCAUCAGUGGGUCUGGCUGUGAAUUUUUCAAGUGCUAGAAGCAAAUUAUCCUUUGAAGAGGCCAGUAGUAAGGAACCGAGGGCAGCCUCAAGCCAUUAGUCAGUGUGCCAUCCUGUAGGGAACUGAGUCCUACCAAGACCAGGUGUGUGAGCCUGGGAGCACAUCCUGUCCCAGCUGAACCUUGAGAUGGCCACCGCCUCAGACAGUGUCAUGGCUGCCGCCCGUCAGAGGACCAAGCUCACCUGCACGGGAUCCCUCACUCAGGGGACUGUGAGCCA
Lutra lutra (Eurasian river otter) is the source of this 1647-nucleotide long non-coding RNA. RefSeq lists it as uncharacterized. The transcript is spliced from 5 exons. NCBI's taxonomy places the organism in Eukaryota, Metazoa, Chordata, Mammalia, Carnivora, Mustelidae. The record is from RefSeq and is a predicted model, not a curated record.